GCCCCUAGUCCUUGACAUUUUUUUUUUUUUGCUAUUCUUUAGCAAAAUAUUGGCUGUCGCUUUUUCAUUUUAUAUAUUUGGAUAUUGAGAAUUUAGUAAUGCUUUUAUAAAAAGAUGGACGUUGAACUGUCAUUUCUGCUGCUUCUUUUUCACUUAUUGUUUUAUGUCCCACUGGCUUAGGCAAUCAUGGGAAAGAAUGGCUUUGGGAAGGCCAUCUUGCGGAUGAUUAGUAUUCUUUCAUUUUGACAUUGAUCACUUAUUGGUGGCUGGUUCUUUGUAAGAUUUUCUUGCAGUCUAAUACAUUUGAUUGUUAUUUUCAGGUUUUGUAGUUUGAGAAGAUUUCUCACAGGUGACAUGCUUGUGGAGCUUAAGGAGAUUGUGGGAAAUAGGGGAGGAAAGUAGAAGACAAUUUGGAGGUUUCCCCUAAUCAGGAGGUCUUUGGUGAGGGGUGCCUUGGUGGAAUUAUGAACAAGCAGAGUUUGAGAUAAGGACUGUAUAAUUCUGCUCAACUUGCAUCUGGUUUAAAGGCUUGCAUGUGCUAUUGUCUGAUGCAUCCUUAAGACGAGAAACAUCAAUGAGUCGGUCAUGCGCAUCUUAAAGGUUUAGCCGGAAAAUUCUAUUUUUGCACUAGACAAUUGUGGCUAUAGUUCAGCAAGCAAAUUUUCACCAGAAGUAAGUUAUCUCAAUGAUUUAUAGGUGUUUUGCAACUACUUUUGAUUGCCAUAAAAACCAAAUUUCUUGUAGUGAAAACUUGGGGACAAGAGAACAAUUGGCAUUAAAAAUUGGCAAAUAUGAAGAAAUAUUUUUUCGAGCCAAAAGAACCACCAACCUGAAGAUUUAAUCAUUGGAUACUUGUGUAUAAUGAAAUGGAUCUAGUUUCGAUUAAGUCACCACAUCAAAAGGAGGCUAUUGAGAAGAUUGUAGCAGACAUGUUCUCAACAAUAAUAGAAGAAAAAAGAGAGAUUAAAACAAUAUUAUGUUCAAACAACCCACAAUCAGAUUAAUUAGAAUAAAAAAUAGAACAAUUUUUUUUCCUAAGAUAACUGUAUGUAUGGCAUGAAAAUUGCAAGGACUUGUUCAGUUCUCCUUAAGAUCCUGCAGCCUCCUCUGCAUAACUCUAUUUAAAAAAGAUGAAUGCAUGCAUGCUUGCCCUGAAGCACUUGAUACUACACUUCUCACGAAAUCCAUAACAUAACCUGAGAAUAAGGUUCAAAAGUGAGCAAAAUCACAUUUAUUUUCAAUGUUGAAACAGAAUCAUUGACUUUAAAAGUACUUGGAGCUUUCAAAACUGUUUCUAAAACUUCAAUUGAAAUUUUCUUUUAUUAAUUUGAUUUUACCAUAGUUUUGCAUCAAUAUCUUUCCACCAUUUAUAAUGUCUUCUCAAACUUCUCUUAACUUGAGCACCAUUAAACAAACUCUCAGCCCUUUAUCCCUUGGAACCCUAUGCAAGUCUCUGGCUAUUUCAGGUCUAGUCUAGUUUUUGCUCGAAACUUGCUUUAUUAACCCUCCUAAUUACCAACCUUCCAAUCUCUUAUGAACCAUAAAGAAGCAAUAUCCUUCCUCAACUCCCAUUAUCACGAAUUCUCCUACCAACGUCAGCCACAUUGUGUUUGGCAUGGUUGGUUCCAUGAACACAUGGAAGUACAAGAAACCAUACAUUGAAGCUUGGUGGCGACCACACAUCACUUGGGGAUAUCUUUUCCUAGACACCCACGCCGGAGUUCCAACCUUGGCCUUCAACUUCUACUCCUUUUUGUGUCAAUGAAAACAUCAAUAAACUGAAAGUUUACCCUAAAAUUGUGAGGCCGGUUCAAGUUCAAAUAGUACGCACAAUAAUGGAGACAUUUAGACAGGGAGACGAAGAUGUGAGAUGGUAUGUAAUGGCAGACGAUGAAACUGUCCUGUUUGUGGAUAACUUAGUUGAGGUUCUAGCCAAGUAUAACCAUUCUAUAUACUACUAUAUUGGGUCAAAUUCAGAGUGUGUCGAGUCUAACUUUGAUUUCUCAUUUGAAAUGGCAUUUGGUGGUGCCGAGUAUGCUUUGAGUAACCCUUUAGUGCAAGCAUUGGCAACCAAGUUAGACAAUUGUGUUGAGCGAUAUCCUCACAUGUUUGUCAGUGAUUUUACAUUACACUCUUGUUUGGCUGAUUUAGGAGUUUCCUUAACUCGAGAGAAAGGGUUUCAUCAUGUAAUUGCAAAAAGCUUCUCUAAUUCAGUUUGCUACUAUAUGUGAUUUUGCACCAAUACUUGCUAUUCUUUCUGAACCAAAAGUUUCGAGCAUUUAAAUCAUUUUAUCAAAGUCACAUUUGUUGACGUGGCACAUUUUGAUUGGUUUUGUGUAUCAUCACUUAAAUGACAACCACUUACGAUGUGCCAAAAAGCCAUUGUAAUUGGGGAUGAUAUAUUUGAGAUUAAAAUCGACAUUUAUCUUUUCGAUACUAUGGUAGGAUUAGACCAUUCUAUACAGUUAAAUAACAUAUAAAAGCUAUUCCAAAUAUGGCAAUGAAACAAAUACUCUUAUAUAUGGUUUUCCAUCACAAACUAAGCCUUGUGGGUAUUUGUGACUACAGAUUGAUCUACACCAUGACGUGCAUGUCACGUCUUUUAUCAACUCACCCACAGUCUCCUUUCCUCUCCCUCCACCACAUUGACACCAUAAACCCAAUCUUCCCCACCAUGAAUCGUUGAGAAUCAAUAAACCACUUCAUGAAGGCUGCAACAGUGGACCAAUCACGUCUUCUUCAACAAACCAUUUGCUACCACAGGCCAAGCAAUUGGUCUUUCUCCAUUUCAUGGGGUUACUCGGCUUAUAUAUAUCAAAACAUACUCCCUCGGAGCAUUUUGUGGAGACCACUCGAGACAUUUAGGCCACGUUAGGCCACCAUUAUACAUGUUCAACACCGGGUGGCCCUCCAACAAUCCCUGUGAAGCUCCUCAUGCUUUUUUUCGUGAUUCUAUUGAAUAUUAUACUCAACAGAACCAGAUUGUUACAACCUAUAUAAUAAGAAGAUCAGUGCAUGGUUUGCCGGCUUGUUCAUUCACUUGUAAUCAUUCUGCAGAUGCCAUCACCAAAAUUCAGGUGUUUUCUCCAGCAACAACACCCAUGGAAGUAAAUUCUUUAUAUUCUUAUGAUUUUUAACCAGAACAUUCAUUUUUUGUAGUUCACUUAAAUAACUUGGGAAAUCUUGUCUUCUACUUUGAUAAGAUCGGAGGAAGAGACUGCUGUGACAUUCUAUACACGACUAGCAAAAAUGUUACAGAAGUGAAAUAUAGGCCUUGUGGGAAGGAUGAAGUAAUUGCCUGACUUCAACAUCAAAUUACAGAACGUCUUGUAUUUUUUAUUUUUUUUAGUUUUUUUCAUUCAUUCAUUUUCUUU
Carya illinoinensis is the source of this 3374-nucleotide long non-coding RNA. RefSeq lists it as uncharacterized. The transcript has 5 exons. NCBI's taxonomy places the organism in Eukaryota, Viridiplantae, Streptophyta, Magnoliopsida, Fagales, Juglandaceae. The record is from RefSeq and is a predicted model, not a curated record.